AGCAGCCGCGGUAAUUCCAGCUCCAAUAGCGUAUAUUAAAGUUGUUGCAGUUAAAAAGCUCGUAGUUGAAUUUCGGGAUUGACACAUCGGUCGUGCCUUAAGGGGUAUGAACUGGUGUAGUCAAUUUCUCACCUUCUGGAGAACCGCGAUGCCCUUAAUUGGGUGUCACGGGGAACCAGGACCUUUACUUUGAAAAAUUAGAGUGUUUAAAGCAGGCAUUUUGCUUGAAUACAUUAGCAUGGAAUAAUAAAAUAGGACGGCAUGAUUCUAUUUUGUUGGUUUCUAGGAUCACCGUAAUGAUUAAUAGGGAUAGUUGGGGGCAUUAGUAUUCAAUUGUCAGAGGUGAAAUUCUUGGAUUUAUUGAAGACUAACUACUGCGAAAGCAUUUGCCAAGGAUGUUUUCAUUAAUCAAGAACGAAAGUUAGGGGAUCGAAGACGAUCAGAUACCGU
Molecule: ribosomal RNA, 450 nt
Filed under: uncultured Glomeromycotina
Lineage: Eukaryota; Fungi; Glomeromycota
Also listed under: 1 other name
Description: SSU rRNA
Rfam family: Eukaryotic small subunit ribosomal RNA
Source: RNAcentral